RNAcentral lists this ribosomal RNA (440 nucleotides) under uncultured bacterium. RNAcentral's name for it is "partial 16S ribosomal RNA". It matches the Rfam family "Bacterial small subunit ribosomal RNA", at positions 338 to 795 of the family's 1533-position model. The record is from RNAcentral.
CCUACGGGUGGCAGCAGUGGGGAAUAUUGCACAAUGGGCGAGACCCUGAUGCAGCGACGCCGCGUGAGUGAUGAAGUAUUUCGGUACGUAAAGCUCUAUUAGCAGGGGAGAAAAUGACGGUACCUGACUAAGUAGCCCCGGCUAACUACGUGCCAGCAGCCGCGGACAUACGUCGGGGGCAAGCGUUAUUCGGAUUUACUGGGUGUAAAGGGAGCGUAGACGGCAGCGCAAGUCUGGAGGGAAAUCCCAUGGCUUAACCAUGGAAGUGCUUUGGAAACUGUGCAGCUUGAGUGCAGGAGAGGUAAGCGGAAUUCCUAGUGUAGCGGUGAAAUGCGUAGAUAUUAGGAGGAACACCAGUGGCGAAGGCGGCUUACUGGACUGUAACUGACGUUGAGGCUCGAAAGCGUGGGGAGCAAACAGGAUUAGAUACCCGGGUAGUC